Molecule: ribosomal RNA, 750 nt
Filed under: uncultured archaeon
Lineage: Archaea
Description: bacterial SSU rRNA
Rfam family: Archaeal small subunit ribosomal RNA
Source: RNAcentral
GAUCUCGACUGCUGGAAUGCAUCGAGAUCGAAAGCUCCGGCGCCUAAGGAUGGGUCUGCGGCCUAUCAGGUAGUAGUGGGUGUAGCGUACCUACUAGCCUACGACGGGUACGGGUUGUGAGAGCAAGAGCCCGGAGAUGGAUUCUGAGACACGAAUCCAGGCCCUACGGGGUGCAGCAGGCGCGAAAACUUUACAAUGCUGGAAACAGCGAUAAGGGGACCUCGAGUGCCAGGUUACAAAUCUGGCUGUCGUGAUGCCUAAAAAGCAUUGCAUAGCAAGGGCCGGGCAAGACCGGUGCCAGCCGCCGCGGUAACACCGGCGGCUCGAGUGGUAACCGUUAUUAUUGGGUCUAAAGGGUCUGUAGCCGGCCGGAUAAGUCUCUUGGGAAAUCCAGCAGCUCAACUGUUGGGCUUUCAGGAGAUACUGUCUGGCUCGAGGCCGGGAGAGGUGAGAGGUACUUCAGGGGUAGGGGUGAAAUCUUGUAAUCCUUGAAGGACCACCAGUGGCGAAGGCGUCUCACCAGAACGGACCUGACGGCAAGGGACGAAAGCUAGGGGCACGAACCGGAUUAGAUACCCGGGUAGUCCUAGCCGUAAACGAUACUCGCUAGGUGUCGGCCACGGUGCGACCGUUGUCGGUGCCGUAGGGAAGCCGUGAAGCGAGCCACCUGGGAAGUACGGCCGCAAGGCUGAAACUUAAAGGAAUUGGCGGGGGAGCACCACAACGGGUGGAGCUUGCGGUUUAAUUGGA